UAGGGAAUCUUCGGCAAUGGGGGCAACCCUGACCGAGCAACGCCGCGUGAGUGAAGAAGGUUUUCGGAUCGUAAAGCUCUGUUGUAAGAGAAGAACGAGUGUGAGAGUGGAAAGUUCACGCUGUGACGGUAUCUUACCAGAAAGGGACGGCUAACUACGUGCCAGCAGCCGCGGUAAUACGUAGGUCCCGAGCGUUAUCCGGAUUUAUUGGGCGUAAAGCGAGCGCAGGCGGUUAGAUAAGUCUGAAGUUAAAGGCUGUGGCUUAACCAUAGUACGCUUUGGAAACUGUUUAACUUGAGUGCAGAAGGGGAGAGUGGAAUUCCAUGUGUAGCGGUGAAAUGCGUAGAUAUAUGGAGGAACACCGGUGGCGAAAGCGGCUCUCUGGUCUGUAACUGACGCUGAGGCUCGAAAGCGUGGGGAGCAAACAGGAUUAGAUACCCUGGUAGUCCACGCCGUAAACGAUGAGUGCUAGGUGUUGGGUCCUUUCCGGGACUCAGUGCCGCAGCUAACGCAUUAAGCACUCCGCCUGGGGAGUACGACCGCAAGGUU
RNAcentral lists this ribosomal RNA (549 nucleotides) under uncultured bacterium. RNAcentral's name for it is "bacterial SSU rRNA". It matches the Rfam family "Bacterial small subunit ribosomal RNA", at positions 355 to 895 of the family's 1533-position model. The record is from RNAcentral.